GCACCAAGCAGACAGGCUGUGCCAGGACUCUUCAGAGAUGCCACUGCCUUUCUCCCAACCAUGCCUAUCAGGGGCACUUCUGUUGCUGGUGGUGUCAAACCUCCUUUUAUGGGAGAACGUGGCCUCUGGACCUUUGAGUAGAAAUGAGGCCAAUGAUGAUCCACUAUCCAUCAAGGGACUAUUUCUUAAUGCCACAAGACUGUCUCAGAAUAUUAGGGACCUCAACAUGAAAUUGCGCAGGACAUAUACAGUCAAUGGAGUCUCUGAAAACUUAUACCAUAAAUAUCUGCUUGAGUUUAUUGAGGAUAUGGAGUUUCUGGUCAAGGCGCUCACCUGCUGCCACAAUUAUUCCAUCAAAACUCCAGAAAACCUGGAUGACGCUCAAGAAAUCCCUUUUAACGACAUUCCAAAACUGAUCCUCAGUAGAAUGUGGGCUUGGAAUGAAACUUCUAAAAAUCUACUGACCAUACUCAGAAGUAUUCCAAGAAUGCACAAUGAUGUCAUUUCAUUAGCCAAAGACAUUGAAACAAAACUUGCAGAGCUUUUUGAGUACAUCCAGAGUAUACUCAGCUCGAUUUAUGGGCCAACAGAAAAUGUUGAUCACACCGUCUUUUCUGGAUCUGAAGACUUAAAAUCAUCUGAUGAAGAAUUUCGCCUUCUUGGUCUUUGUAAAUUUUCCUAUUGCUUACGUGAAGAUAUGCAUAUGGUUGAACUUUAUCUUAAGCUAUUUGAGUGUGUAGUAUAUAUUAAUAGUGAUGAUUGCUUAUUCAGCAAUAUUAGAGAUGCUUCAUGAUACUGAACAUUUUAAAUAACCUUAAUUUUAUAAUUGUGAAGGUAAGAGUGAGUACAAUGGUGUCUUUUAAAAGAAAAAUAAAUUAUAUAUAUAUAUAUAUAUAUAUAUAUAU
This is a non-coding RNA of Arvicanthis niloticus (Nile rat), 905 nucleotides long. The record is from RefSeq and is a predicted model, not a curated record. NCBI's taxonomy places the organism in Eukaryota, Metazoa, Chordata, Mammalia, Rodentia, Muridae.